CAGAUAUUACGAACCAGAGUUUAAAAUCUAAAGAUUUUGGCAGUGUUUUAUAAAACCAGGGGAACCUGCCCCAUAAUUCGAUAGUCCACGACUACCAAACCACUUUUUGAAUGCCAGCUUGUGUACUGCCGUUGUAAGCAUACCUUUAAAAGAUAGUGUGCUACUAUGAUAAAUUACUUACUCACUUACAUCAGGUCAAAGUGCAGCUAAUAAAGUGGUGGUGGUGGGUUACAAUCUAAAAAAAGAAAUGGAUUAAGUAAUGAAAUUUCUAACUUAUAAAAGCGGACUUGGACGUAAUUAAAUAAAAAAAUAAAUAAAUGAAUAAUAAUCUAAAACAUGUACACAUCGCCCG
Molecule: ribosomal RNA, 352 nt
Filed under: Terrisswalkerius athertonensis
Lineage: Eukaryota; Metazoa; Annelida; Clitellata; Crassiclitellata; Megascolecidae
Description: partial 12S ribosomal RNA
Source: RNAcentral